Non-coding RNA from Manis javanica (Malayan pangolin), 4408 nucleotides. Lineage: Eukaryota; Metazoa; Chordata; Mammalia; Pholidota; Manidae. The record is from RefSeq and is a predicted model, not a curated record.
UUUACUCUUCAUACCUUCUUGAGAGGACAGAGAAGCAUGCAGCAACAUUCAGUGCUCUCUCCCCAAAGGUGGGGGAAUUGCAAGGAGAAAUGAAAUAUUCUCCCCAGGAGACUAAAAUACAGCAGUGUUUGUCAAGCUCAAUCAAAUUCUGGUUGUGAAGUCAAUCUAGCAGGGAGCAACCAACAUCAUAAAAAAUGACACAGACGAGUAGAAAAUAUCAGGUUGUAUCACAUUUAGUAAGGUUUCCUCCAGCUUUGCUCUUCUCUGUGAUGAGCAAGAGCUUGUAUCUCUUCUUUUGACCACUAUUAGAACCUUCUUCCGCGUUGAAUUCUUGGAAGGCUGCAGGAGGAAUAACGUGAAGCAGAGAAUUCGCUUGCCAAGUAUCCACGAUGUGCUGUGCUUGGGACAGAGCCCACCAGCGAAGCUGCUGCUGCCUGGCCCCACACGUCCUGGUCUCCUAAAAUGUGAGCUGCCCUACGUCACAGGGACGCGCAUGAGGACUCUUAAGAAUAAAGAAAGUGAUCAACAAGCAGAAACUAAAUACCUUGUGGGUUCAAAGGAAAGAAACUCUUCCUGAUACUGCCUGGAGAAGGAGGCUUUAAAAGUGGACCUAAUAUCAUGGGUAGGAUUAGCAAAUAUGGAGAGCACGUGCCAAGUGAGGGGUGCCGUGCACGAAGCGGAAGGUGCAACAAAACUCAGGCUGUUAGGAAGGCACCCGACUUUCCACCCCAGGGUUCCUGGGAAGCCUCACCUAAGGGACUCACACCCUGGACUUGGUGCCUCCAACACCCAUCUGGCUUCCUUUCGGUGGCCAUAGAACUGGGGAACUGGAUCAGCCAGGGUGGCCGCGAGUGCCUGAAUCCGCGGGCUGCCUGCGGCUCUCUCUGACUGCGUGGGACAGGGCAUGCUGUCCGCUGCUCAAAGUGGAUUGGCUGGAUGACGAAGUCUGUGCCCACAGCACGAAUAAUGACUGACAGUGUCUGCUUUUGAGUCUGCAGAGGAAUGAUGGAGACUUGCAGCAACUCAAAACCCAAACAGUGUCUGGCUGACAAUAGCGGCUAAGUGUUCCGCUGAACAGAACUGAACUGACUGUUGGCCAGAAAGGUCAGGACACAGUGGAAAACCUCGGAGUCCAGUUUUCAGGCCUGUGGCGCUGGGUCUGGAGAGCCCCAAACUCCAAAUAUGGCCCCAAGCCCAGAAGACUUUCCAGACACUCUCUUGAACUUGGGCCUUAGCCCUUACCUCACCCGCCGACCUGUGCCUGUGGGGACUCCCUGUGCUGGCCACACUGCAGACCUGGGCUCACUGGCUGUUUAACUGCUUGUGGCUUGGGUCGAAAAAUCUUGGAUGUCAUAAUUUAGAGCCUUACUCUAACAGCUCAAAAAACCCUUUGUAAUUUGACUGACAGAAAUGACUAUCUGGCUGGUGCUGCAGGCAAAGGAAGGCACUGCCUUGAAUGUUGGCUCUUCCUCUGCUUCUAUAUGACUGAUCUCGGGCAAGUUUUUAGCUUCCCUAAACCUCGGUUUCCUCAUCUGUAAACAGGGGCCGUAGCAACCACCACCGGAAGGGUUGCUGUGAGGAGGAAAGACAGUACAGCAAAGGCCACCAUUUACGGAGUGUUCACUACGUGCCCAGCUCUGUGCUCAGUACUCUGAAACAGAGUCUCACAGAAGCUUCCAGCACCUCUGAGAAGGAACUGGGGAACAGAGCUUAAGGAAUUUGCCCCAGUUUUACAGCUCACAAAUUGUGAAUCAGGGAUUCAACUCAGGUCUGCCUUCCUCCAAAGACUAUCACAGCACUGGGGGCUGCAAAGUGCUCUGCAAAUGUUACUUUCACUUCUCAUGUAGAAGGUAAAACUCAUCUCAACUAAGUGAAAACAUCUUCUCUUGAAUUGUCCUGAUUUGGGAUAAAUAUAAAUCCCAAACACAUAGACUGGAUUACAUCCUUGCUGUGAGUCUAAGACUCCCUUUGCUCCACAAGAGCAGACUAGGGCCCUGUCUUCCUUUCUGUCCGGGCCCACAGUGGGCCAAGGCUGGACAUCGAGGGUCCCCCAGAGCAAGACCCACCUUCCUGGGGGUGAGGGGGGAGCAGGUCUCCCAGUUCCCAGGGUGCUGCUCAUAUCUUGGACCUCAUUCUUUGUCUUUGCAUCUUCCCAGCAAUGGUCGCCAACCAGGUGCUAAAGGAUGUUGUCUGUAGUCUCCCAAAGCUGAGUCCUCAGCCCCACAUACUCACUUCACUUGCCCAACACUUCUCUGGAUUCAGUGCUCUGGAAAAUGAGCUUUUCAGUAGCUUCUCUGUAUUCACUAACCUCUGAACAGAUCAAGCCACUUCUCUUGUACUCCAUUAUUCUUAAUAUUGUAUUAAAUGUAAGGGUUUGGCAUGCCCAGUUCCAGAGCACUUACCACAUCAAAUAAAUUAACAAGUUGCUUCUCUAUAAAAUGUCUAAAAUGUUAAAUCAUGUCACGUGUGGCCACAAGAGAAUUUUAAGAGUUUGGGGCUGUAAGAAUAUCCACGCUGGCAGAACCAAAUUCUUUUUUUAUAUGAUUCAGCAUGAAAACCCAAGAGCUACGGCCUUCAGCUGGAGGUCCUUCGGGGACAUGCUUCUCUGACUCUCAGAAAUCAAAGCAGGAAUUCACACAUGAUUCUUCUACAUGAAAAGAUGUUAAUGAGCUUCUGGCCACAUUUAAGAUUCUACACAUAUUUUUCAGAGUCACAGUUUGAGAAGCUGUAGCCUCUAGAUAACUGACGGCAUUUUAGAGUUGGUGGUUACCUGAGAUAUCAUUUAGUAAGGGAUUCUCAAAUUCCUGGUGAAUAAAAAUCAACUGUUUAAUCACAAGCAAUCAUAUUAAAUACCGUUCAUUAAGUAACUACUACGUGCCGGUACCUAAGCACUUUCAGGUAUUAACUUACUUUGUCCUCCCCCAAACCUCAUAAGGAUGCUGCUGUUAUUCUUCCCAUUUUGUAGAUAAGGAAAUGGAGACACAGAGAAUUACAUAACCUGUCCAAGUUCAAAUCAGGCAGUGGGACUCCCCUUAGCCACUCCCUUACACUACCUCUUGAUUCAAGAUCACAAAGCUAGUAAGUGUCCACCUGUUUCAGUCUACAGGCAGGUUGCUACAGGUACGCCCUUUGCCCUGGAGGGCUCUCCAGGUGUGGGCGUGUGUGUAUGUGGGGGCUCAGGGCCAUGUGAGGUGGGAAGUGGUGGAUGCCUCCUUCCUCUUCUCAACGCCCCAUACACACAUGAUGUCAGCAUCUUGACCCUGGGGACACUAAGCGUGGGGGUUAGGACAGACUGAAGCCUAUUUCAUGUGUCCUGCUUUAAAGGAUUCUUCUGUAUAGUCAUCUUUUAAAGUCACCUUUUGUAGUGGCUUAAGAGUACGUCCCUUUGAAAAUAAUUUUUUAAACAGAAGAAAACAUAAGCAUGCAAAUUGCAUGGAAUGUUGGAAUGUGCAGAAAAGUAGAAGGAAGUAAAACUUACUGAUGAUCCACCAUCCAAAGACAGCCACUCUUGACAUUUUGGUUUAUUUUCUUCUUUUCAUUUUUGAACAAUGUAUGUUAGUUGUGACUGUAAUGAAUAUGCAAUGUUCUAUUUUGCUUUUUCCACUAAAUGUUGUCUAUACUACUACCUACCUUUUAUAAACAUCAUUUUAAAGGCAUUAUGGGGAUAUGCUAUAAUUUAUGUAAACAUUCCUCUGUUGUUAAACAUUUACACUAUUUUAAAAUAUAAAUAGCACUAAAGGAAUUUUUCUGAAUAAAGCUUUUGCCUUAUGUAGGUUUACUUCUCUCGGGAAGAUUUCCAUCAUGAAGAUAUUGGGACUUCUCUUCACCUGAAACCUCACUUCAUGAGGUAUUUCUCAGUGCUGACAUUAUCAAGUUAUCAACUGUCAAUAUGCAAGUAAGCAAAUUAUUAUGGGAUUUUUAAUGAUUUUAUAUUCUUAAAUGAACACUCCACCCCCACCCCCCACCUUUUUCCAAAAUCACAUUAGAGCUGUAGGUCAUUCUUUGGUACAAUGGCAAACAGAAAUACUCUGACCACCUGGAAUACAGGCAUGUCUCGAAGUGACACAGUCUCAGGAAGUGGUUAAGAACAAGGGUUCUACCUUUGUGAUAGUCCUUCAAAAGCUCAGAACUCUGGUCUAAUCAUGAGAAAAUGUCAGACAAACCCAGCUGGGCAGGCUUCUACGGGAUAGCUGGUCAAUACUUCCCAAGGUCAUGAAAAACAGGGAAGACAGAGAAACUGUCAAAGACCAGGCAGAUUUGGGAGACACGGCAACUAAAGGCAACGUGGCACCCGGGACUAGAUACUGGAACAGGAAGAGGGCCUUGGUGGGAAACCUGGUGAAAUCCAAAUAAAGUUUGGAGUUUGUUAAUAAUCAUGUGCCGACAUCAGUUCCUUAGUUUUGACAAA